This 961-nucleotide ribosomal RNA is filed under the name Microbacterium esteraromaticum. Its description in RNAcentral is "bacterial SSU rRNA". It matches the Rfam family "Bacterial small subunit ribosomal RNA", at positions 92 to 1065 of the family's 1533-position model. The record is from RNAcentral. Lineage: Bacteria; Bacillati; Actinomycetota; Actinomycetes; Micrococcales; Microbacteriaceae.
UUAGUGGCGAACGGGUGAGUAACACGUGAGCAACCUGCCCCUGACUCUGGGAUAAGCGCUGGAAACGGCGUCUAAUACUGGAUAUGUCCCAUCACCGCAUGGUGUGUGGGUGGAAAGAUUUUUCGGUUGGGGAUGGGCUCGCGGCCUAUCAGCUUGUUGGUGAGGUAAUGGCUCACCAAGGCGUCGACGGGUAGCCGGCCUGAGAGGGUGACCGGCCACACUGGGACUGAGACACGGCCCAGACUCCUACGGGAGGCAGCAGUGGGGAAUAUUGCACAAUGGGCGGAAGCCUGAUGCAGCAACGCCGCGUGAGGGAUGACGGCCUUCGGGUUGUAAACCUCUUUUAGCAGGGAAGAAGCGAGAGUGACGGUACCUGCAGAAAAAGCACCGGCUAACUACGUGCCAGCAGCCGCGGUAAUACGUAGGGUGCAAGCGUUAUCCGGAAUUAUUGGGCGUAAAGAGCUCGUAGGCGGUCUGUCGCGUCUGCUGUGAAAUUCCGAGGCUCAACCUCGGGCUUGCAGUGGGUACGGGCAGACUAGAGUGCGGUAGGGGAGAUUGGAAUUCCUGGUGUAGCGGUGGAAUGCGCAGAUAUCAGGAGGAACACCGAUGGCGAAGGCAGAUCUCUGGGCCGUAACUGACGCUGAGGAGCGAAAGGGUGGGGAGCAAACAGGCUUAGAUACCCUGGUAGUCCACCCCGUAAACGUUGGGAACUAGUUGUGGGGUCCUUUCCACGGAUUCCGUGACGCAGCUAACGCAUUAAGUUCCCCGCCUGGGGAGUACGGCCGCAAGGCUAAAACUCAAAGGAAUUGACGGGGACCCGCACAAGCGGCGGAGCAUGCGGAUUAAUUCGAUGCAACGCGAAGAACCUUACCAAGGCUUGACAUACACGAGAACGGGCCAGAAAUGGUCAACUCUUUGGACACUCGUGAACAGGUGGUGCAUGGUUGUCGUCAGCUCGUGU